This 119-nucleotide ribosomal RNA is filed under the name Pteropus alecto (black flying fox). Lineage: Eukaryota; Metazoa; Chordata; Mammalia; Chiroptera; Pteropodidae. The record is from RNAcentral.
GUCUACGGCCAUGCCACCCUGAACGUGCCCAAUCUCAUCUGAUCUCGGAAGCUAAGCAGGGUCGGGCCUGGUUAGUACUUGGAUGGAAGACCACCUAGGAGGACCAGGUGCUGUAGGCA